GGUAAGGCAAGUGGGAUUGCUGGCUGCUGGAUGUCAGCCAUGGAACAAAGAUGUGUGUGCUGCCAAUGGAGACAGGUUUGCAUAUUGUGCUACUCUGGCUAUCUAUAUUUAUCAGGUAACAUAAUGCUAAUUCUUUUCAAUUUUUAAUUGUAACAGUUAAAAUGAUCAUUUAAUUCAUAGUUGUUUUAAGUUUUUUUCACAUGAAAAGCAUAAUUGCUAUAAUUUAGUUGCUAUUUCUAUUUUCUGUUUUUUUUUUAAUUUUUUAUUGUUGGCUGUUCAAAACAUUACAUAGUUCUUGAUAUAUCAUAUUUUUAUUGGGCUUUCAGAUGCUCAGAAAAUGUUUAUAUCAUCUUAUUAGUAAAUUUGAAAUGAGAAAAUUAUAUCAGUUGAAGGAUGUGGAUAGUCUAUUAGAAAUCAUCACAUGAAAAUUAGUGUGGAUACAUUUCAAAAUAUUUUUGAGAGAAAAAUCUUUAUAACUACUUUUUAAAAAAAAUUCCAGUUGUCACUUAUCAAUUCCCAAUGUACAAAGCCAGUGUCUUCAUGAAUUUUUCUAUAUAGAGGAGCCAUAAACAUCUUAAAUCCAAAUUUAGUCUUUCUCCUGAACCCAGAGUCAAAUUCUCAAAAGGCUAACCUUUCUCUAAACCAGAAAUGUUAGUCAGAAUGACUCACUUCUACGUACCUCCUUUGCCGUUGGUAACCAAGAGUGAUGUGAUAUCUUGUAUUUUUCAGUAUCUUUCCUCCCUGAACUAUAUAAUAUACUCUUAAUAGUCUCUCUUCCUUUCAUUUGUUUUUUCCAUAAUUUAUGCAAAUAUCAAUUUUAAAAUCUUUAAUUGCCAUUCAUACCAUAAUAUUACAUCUAAACUUUAUAUUAUGACUGUUUUUCCCCUGGUAUCAGGUAUUGAACCAAGGGGUGUUUAACCACUGAGCCACAUCCCCAUCCCUUUUUCCAAUUUAUUUAAAGAAAGGACCUUGAUGAGUUGCUAUUGAUCUUGCCAUCCUCCUGCCUCAGCCUACUGAGCUACUAGGAUUUCAUGACUUUUAACAUCUUGUGACCAUCCUGUGUUCUUUUUCUUUUACUCUGUGCUGCAGACAUACCAACCAAUUGCAUUUUAUGAAACAUCUUAAACUCCUGUCUCCUUUUCAUUAAUUUAUCAGUUUGCCAACAUUGCCUGUGGGGGGAACAUUUUCUCAUCUUUCAAAUCUCACCUGAAAUGUAAAUUCUUUUUCAUAUUCUGCCUUUCCCCCUUCCUUAUGAGAGAGGAUUUUCAUAAAAUGAACUCUAUUUUUCCAUUUAUUAUAAAUGAGGUUGCCUUACCUUUGCGUUCUUAAACAUUUGUACACUCUCUAGCACUUCAUAGAUAAUUUAUUAAAUGUCUUAGAUGAAUGAGACCACUCUCUUUUAAUCUUCAAACAUCAACUAUUUCAGUUGACUGAAAAAUAAUGCUUUAUUCUGAAGAAUAAAUAAGAAUAAAAUAAUGCUUUAUUCUGAAAAAUACUUUUUAUUAUUACAUAAGUUUAUUACAAAUUGUGCUAUGGUUUAUUGAAAAUUGAAGAAACAAUAGCAUUCAUCCAUAAAAACAAUUCGUUUCCACAAUAUAGAAUAAAAUUGUGUGUAGUCCACUUAUGAAGACUGGAAAUGUCUAGCAAUGGAGGUGUGAUUUUAAUAUCACUCACAAUCUUUCACUUCCCAUCCCUUCUCUAUGUAAGACAAUAGAAAGCUUCCUUCCCGCCCCCCAUCUAUGUCCUUGACACCCUGCAUGUACUCCCAUGCUUCUCACUCCCAAAUUCCUUCUAUAAAAUUUUUUGCCUACCUAGUCUCAAGUCCCCCUCCUAAAGAAAAGAAGCAUGUCAGGCAAAGCAGACUGUUCCUCUCAGAGGUAAGGAUGCUAAGAAACUGAACAGGUUUAGGCAAGACAAUUUUUCAAGUUUUUAUGUCUGAAAUUUUAUGAUAGCAUUUUGUGACAAAUAUUUAGGAAGUUAAGCUAAAAUUAUGAACAUAAACUUAUGAAUUAAACUCAAAAUUAUGCUCAUUUACAAAUUAACUUAGGUGUCAGUUCAUUACAGUGUGCACUGUAGCAACUUGUUUCAAAAUAUUCCAGUAAACAAUUGCAUUACUAAAUGAUGAUAAUGACAUUAAAUUGAUGUUAAUAUAAAUUUAUAUUCUAACUUAUACAUUAUAUAUAAUUUAUAUUUACUUUCAUGUGACCUAAUUUAUAUAAUCAUACAUAUAAAUUUAUAUAAUAAAUUAAUAUUGUGUUAUGUGAUACAUAAAUAGAAAAUGUUAUGAUUUCAGAAUAAUGUUUAUUAAAUAGUAUCUUGUAUAAACAGAGUGAAUAGUCAAAGUCCAAAAACAGUGUCAAAUUCAAGAUAAUGACUGUGAUGUAUUAUUAGAUUUUUCUGAACAUUAAAUAAUAUUUCUAAAUGGCUUUUGAAUUUUUACUUUAUAAUGCACCAAAAUAUUGUAUUAAAGUUCUUUAACAUUAAUUUAUGCUCCCUCUCGAUGUAACAGUACAGUUAUAACACCAAAUUGUAAAUAUCAUAGGAAUUCAUUAAUAAUUUAAUCCCUACAAGUAGUUCAGUAUUCUCUAGUGUGCUUACAGAUACUAUUGGAUAAUUUGUGUGGUAAAGUCAAAGAAGGUCACUGAUUUUUAUAUUUAUUGUAUUUAUAACUAUCUCUAACUGAAUUUCUAAUAUGUAUAUACCAGAUUUUUCUGUUACAUUGUAUAUAUUCACAGUAUCUACCACGGCUAACAUAAAUUUCUGAAUAAUUUAAAACUUAAAAACCUGAUCAUUUGUAAAUAGACGAAGAACACAAUUAUGUAUUUAAAUAGGCUCAUGUAAAAUUAUUAUUGUUGUAGUGCCAUUCAGAUUAAAACCAGUGGUACUGGGUUAUCUUUAAUAAUGCUUUCAUCAAAGUUGUCUAAGAAUAUUUGAAACUAUAAAAAGAAAAAGAAUUUAUAGGAGACAAAGCCUUAGGAAUUAAUUAGGACAUUAGUCGAAAUUUUAUAUACAAAGAUGUUUACUGCACCAUAAAUGUGAUAGCAAAAAGCAGAAGUUACUUAAGUGCAAAACCAUAACAUCAAGGUUUGUUCUUCAAUAUCAACUGACCCUCUUCUCAUAUCAGAUUAGUUUGGCAAGAUAGCAUAAGUUUGAUCAUAUAGAGUACAAAGCAUUACAUGACACUAGAAAUGCAACUGAGAACAAACCAGGCAAAAUCUUAUUGUGGGAACAGAGGACAGGGAGAGGUCAUAAAAUCAGUAAACAAAUAAUUAAGUAAAUGUUUCAGGAAGUAAUGUGUUCCAUGAAAACUACAAAACAGAUAAUAAGAUAAUGGGAUAGGUUCUGAGGAGAGUUAUUAAUUUAAAUAGCAUAGUCUGAAAACAUCUCUCUAAAGUGGUACUUUUCAAAUCAGACCUGAACAGGUAAAUGAAUAAUCAUGAGCAGAUCAGUGGGGAGAGUAUUAGAAGAAAAGAAAACAGUGAAUAUCAAGCUGUCUGUAACAUGGAAAUGAUUUUACUGGGAGGAAUUUUAUAUCAGAUUAGUUUGGCAAGAUAGCAGAGAUUUGAUCAUGUAGAGUACUGAAGGUUCUGUCAGCAGUUAGGAUUUUACUGCAAGUAUAUGGUUAAACAAAUAUUGGAGUGACAUUUAAGAUAAUGAUUUUUAAAACUUUCAGUAACCCUGAAAUGAUCACUACAAGAUGACACAUAUAGUACAAACCAAAACAUUAUACAAAAGGUAGAGAAAUUACUUAAUCUACUAAUUAAUUCAGGCACAUUUACAAAUGAAACAGGAAAAUAUGGGCUAUUCAUUUUAUUCACUUACAUAUAAAAAUGCAACCUAAUUUAAAAAAUGACACAAAAAGGGUCAAGGAUUCAUUGUUCUGGAAGAGUUAGAUAUCUUAAUAAUAUAAGGAUAAGCAUUUGAUUUUUUUAAAAUCCUAUUUUUUUGUACAACAUAGUUUAAUUUUUAAAUUCAAAUAUAAGUGAAAAUGGCAGAAAAAAAUUCCAAAACCAAGGGGUUUAUUUACUCUUCAUAAAUGAAUAUAGCCAUGGAAAAUGUAAUAAAAAAGCUCUGAAUUCUUGUGCAUAUUUGAAUGUAAAACAUUUUUAUUAAUUUUAAUUUAUGUUUUAUUUUUCAUUCUCUCAUUUUACCCCAGAUGUUUUUUUCUGCUGAUCGAAUAUACUUAAAUAGACCAAGGCUUAAAAUUUGUUCAUCUAUUUAUUACUAGGUGAAAUAAUUUUCAUGUAUGUAGCUUUUGUUUAUAUAACAUGAUUAUUAAUGGAUAAUGCAUUAUUUUUAAAAAGUACUAAAAUGUUUUAUUUAUUUUGUUUUAGUUGGAUCACCGUUAUAAUGAAUUCAAACUUUAUGCAAUUAUGUCUGAACAUAAAAAAACAAUUACAGCAAUCUCUUGGUGUCCACAUAAUCCUGAUCUGUUUGCAAGUGGCAGUACCGAUAAUUUAGUGAUUAUUUGGAAUGUUGCAGAACAAAAAGUCAUUGCUAAACUAGACAAUACAAAAGGUACAUUUAUUAUUGAAAUUUAUUUUAUUGGAUAAAACCUUUUAUUUCAAGAAGCACAAUUAGUUUUAUUAAUUCAGGUUUUUAAAAUUGUGUUUUAAAAUUUGUAAUAGUAACUGAUAUAAGAAAUAUAUUUCACAUGUUUGUACAUGUGUGCAAAACUGAAACAAAAUUUCAUGAAAUAAUUAUACUUGGAACAUAAGAUAAAAACUUAGUACCAAAUCAUUUUAUUAAUUUUUAAAUACAAAACUUUCGAAACUAAUAUGAAAACAAUAAUUAGAAAAGAUAUUCUUAAUGGGACAAGUAAAAAGCCUUGCCUAUUCACUAGUGUAUUACACUAGUGAACAUGUAUUUAAUUUAUUUCCUCCUAAUAUUGCAGACAAUAUUCUGAAUGUAUUUAAUGUAUUGUUUAGCUGUUUUCAUGCCUUUAUGUGUAAUUCAGUCAAGGUAGAAAGUCCUAGUUCAAACAACAAAUAGGUCGUUGUGAAUUUGGAUAAUGUCAUAUUCUUUCUAAUUAUCAUUGGGAACUCCUAUUUAAUCUUAACCCAUAAUGAUGAUAUUGUCAUAAUAGUAAAUGUUGUAAUAAUGUACUCUUUCUGAGCACCAAGCAUAUAGCUCACUUGAUUAUGAUUUUGUAAGAUAAUGCUGGAUAUGUUUUCUGUAUUAAGCUUUUUCUCUGCAAUUAAUGAAAAUAAAGUAGAAAAGUGAGAUAUGACAAUUUUACUAUAUUUUAUUCAAAAUUUAUUUAUAGUGGGUAUGUAGCAAUAAUAUUAGGAAUUCGUAGACAAUUAAAAUUUUGCUUCCAUAAUAAGAAUAAUGCCUUUUGAAACCUUUAGAUAUAUUUAAUAUACUUGUUAUGUUGCUUUUCUUGUCUUUUCAAAUUUAGGUAAUUAAAGAUGCUGAAAAUUAUCAGUUAAAAGAUAUCAAUUUUGUUUUUCAGUCAUCAUCUUAAAAUUAUUUACCAAAUGAUGUUGAUUUUCAUUUAUAAAAAUGUGCAUUUAAUUCCCAAAUUCAUAUAACCUGUUUUUUUUUAAUUUUCAAAUUCUCCUUUAAGUUUUUUAAAAUUUUACAUGAAAUAAACUAAAAUGUUGCAUAUCAUUAUUUCCAUUAAGUUGUAACCCCAAAUCUACAUCAGCCUAUAAUUGAAAAUAAACAUUUUUCUAAAUAUUAUACAAAAGUACAGAUUAGACAACCUAUAAUUGUGUUUUCACCUAGUUUAGCUAAUGGUUUAUCAUGUCAUCAUACGUAUUAUAUCCUUUUAUGAGGGAAAGAAUUUUUUUAAAUUCAUCAGUUGAGUGUAUCAUAAUUUCCUUUGCCACCCGAUAUAUAAUUAAACAAGAUUUUCAAUUAACAGUGGUAGAAUAAUAAAUUAUUAUAGUAGCAAUUUUAGUAAAUAUUGCUUUCUUUGGAAAAUUCAAAGAUUAGUAAUAACUUUCCCAUGUUAUUUACAAUUACCUUCUUAUUUGAAGACUGAAAACUUCAAUAUUGUAUUUAGAAAAAAUAUGAACAUUUUUAGUCAUUUUCAUUUUAAAUAUCCCCUUUUGAAUGUCUUAAGACACCAUUAUUUUUUAGAAUUCAGGUUAAGCAAAAUAGAAAUUUGCAUUAAUUCAACUUUUUAACCUCUACAUGUAGUACUUGACCUUGAUCUUUCCUCAGUAGUUUUCACUUCAUUUUUCUUUUUCCUAAUAAACAACAGGUUUAAAGAAAAAUGAGUAUUAGUUUGUCCAAUUGUUAAAAUGUUAAAAUUGUCACCAGUUUUAAAAAUGUCACAUGUUGAGUGCCAAAGGAAAAUAUUAAUUUUUACUUAUCUCAGAAUAUUGUUGGGAGAAUUAAAUGUUGAUAUUUGCAAAACUCUUAAAAGUAUUGUACACGGUAAGUCACCACAUAAGUAUUUUCUUCUAUUAUUAUUAUUAUUAUUAUUAUUAUUUGAAAUUGUUUCUGGUUCCUUCACUUCCCUAGCUGUCAUUCUUUAAUAUACAUUCAGCAGCCAGUCUUCUACAAUUAUGCUGUGGUGAUUUGUUUCAUACAAAAUAAUUUGUCCCUUAUUAGGGAAAUUCUGCUUCUGUUAAUUCAUCCUAAAGCCACACCAAGUUUUUUUAUUAGCCUUGAACAUGUACCCAAUUCUUUCAUUCACUCAUCAGAUAUUUAUAGAGUUCUUAAUAUGUGUCAGGCCCUGAACCAGGCUUAGGCUUCUAGUUUUUGCCUCUUGGAGCACACAGACUGUUGACACAAACUGAACUUACUAUAAACCAACAACUUUCAAUACUGUGUUUUUAUUCAUAUAAUGUUCUCUUCCUAAUAAAUACUGCUCACUCCAAUAUAUUUGAAUCUGACCUCUAUUUGAAGAUAUAAUUCAUAUCCAGUUUCUUUUUAUGACAAUAGACCAGUGAUUCUCAAAAGUUUUCUGCAUAUCAAAAUCAUUUAGAGCAACUUGAUAAAAACUAGAUUCCUAGGGCCUAACUCCACAUGACCUGAUAUAUUAUAUUCAAUUUUAUGAUUCUGAUAGUCAAUCUAUCUGUGCUGGAAGAGUUCAUAAUUUCUCUUUUGAGUCAUGCAUUUCCCAAACACCUACUUUAUAUAUAGUUUAUUUGGUCACAAUAAUAGUAGGAACAUUAACAAUUAGCUUUUGUAUUUUAUUUACGAUUUAAAAGGUAAUUUUACAUGCAUUAUUAUAUUUUCUUAACACUCAUGUGAAAUAAGUAGUCAAUUACUUUUAUUAUUAUUUCCAUUUUAUAAAUGAGGUAACAAAAGUUUAGAGAAAGUAAUUUCUUUAGCUCAUCUGAGGCAAAGCUAGAAUUUGAAUCUAAAUUCCUGAAUGAUAUAGACUGUAGCAUUGUUUGUUAUUAUUAAUCUUUAUAGUAGCAGUGAUCUCUUUAUGCGUUUAUCUCAUUGUCCUUAAUUUAUAUUUCAGAACCUUUACUUUAUUUCAUACUGCAUUGUAUAUCUAGAAUGUCUAGAAAUCUUAGAUACACAUGAUAAGUAUUUGUUGCUUUAAUAUAUAGUGUACUGAAUUAAGGAACUCUAUAAAUUUCUUUGAGUACAUGAAACAUGACAAUUGUAUUAAUAUUUGAACCGAAGUAGGUAUUUUUCCUUUCAUUCUGAAAGUUUCUACAUAUAGUCUCUGUAGUUUGGGGGAUUAGUUUAUAAAUCCUAUUCAGAAAUAAGAAAGUAAUGUAUUUUUAAAAUAAUGAACAUACUUUCGAGUUUUUAUUAGUUUUAAAAAUGUACAGUACAAGGAAUAUUUAAUGGUACAAUCUUGUGCUACAUCUUUCUAUUAAGUUUCUGUGUUUAAUUUAUUCCAGGAGUGCCUGCCUCUCUUAGCUGGUGCUGGAAUGCAGAUGAUGCUGUAGCAUUUGUUUCCCACAGAGGCCCACUAUUCAUUUGGACCAUAUCAGGACCAGAGAGUGGAGUGACUGUACACAAGGAGGCCCAUAGCUUCUUGUCUGAUAUCUGUAUUUUCAGAUGGCAUACACAAAAAAAAGGGAAAGUUGUGUUUGGUCAUAUUGAUGGAAGUCUAUCAGUUUUUCAGCCAGGUAAGAAUUUAAUGAGUCUAGUUGCUUAAUUAUAUAUUUUAUAGAAGAUGUGCUUUCUUAUUUACAUGCAUAUAUUAGUUUGUUUCCCAUUACUAUAACAAGUAUCUAAGACAAAUAAGCUUAAAAAGAAGAAAGGUGUAUUUUGGCUCACAGUUUUAAAAGUUUCAGUGUAUGACCAAAUGACUCCAUUGCUUGGUGACAUAGUAUAUCUUAGCGGAGCAUCUGGAAACAAAAAGAGGGAAGUGUGAUGUCCGACAAAUAUGUUUGUGAGUAUGACUCAAUGACCUUUUAGCUUCCCACAAUGCCCCUCCUUCUAAAGGUUCCAUUACCUCCUCAUAAUGCCAUGGGCUGGGGGCCAAACCUUUAACACAUGGGCCUUUGGGGAACAUUCCAGAUCUAAAUUGUAGUAAUAUAUAGAGUGAACAGUAACAAAAUUGUAAUUUUAAAAAUAUUAUUUCUGAAAAUAUUAUUUAAAAUUGGGUUGACUCCAAAUAGUCAUUGAAGUAAAUUUUAUUUGUAGGCAUUGUAAUUUCACUUGGUUGUAAAAAUCUUGUUUUGAAUUUACCCAAAUCAGUCAUUUUCCCCAUAUUUAUAAUUUUUAAGUCAAUUCUUUAUUUCCGACUAAGAAACUAACCUAAAUGAACAAGAAUAUGUUGCUGGAAGAUAUGACGAUUUACUAAAACCCUCCAAAAUAUUUUCUCACCUGCUGAUAAACAUGUUGGUUCCAUGGUUCCUUAAAAAUGGACUUAAACCUGUCAUAAGAACACAAAGUAACUCUUUGAACCCCUAGUUAAUUAAUUUGGCUGAAUGAAAGGACUUGAGAAAUUAUUUUUUAUUCAUUUUAAAAAUUUAGGCAGUAACAAAAAGUAUGAUUUUAAAAAUUACCUGAAUUGCUCUAUCCUCUAAAUAAACAUUGUUAACUUUUUGGAAAAACUAUUUUUAGCCUUCUGUCAUCUGUGUUUCUGUAUGUGACUAUUGGAUAGCCAGAUAGAUAAAAGAACUUUUUCAGGAAGCGAUAAUUACUUUUAUAAAACAUUAAAUUUCAAAUUAUCUGAAAUUAAUAGAAAAAGACAUUAAAAUUGAACAGAAGGAAUUGUGAAACUUUAAAUAAAUCUUUCUUUAGUAAAUAAUCUUUUUUAAUUUAAGAAAGGAGUAUAUAAAAUAUUGGUAAACUGAAGCCAUUAUAUCUUGGUACAAUUAAACAGAAUCUAAAAUAGAUACAAAUAUUUUUCUUUACCAGUUUCCCCCUCUGUUCUUUGUACACACCCUCUGUUCUUUCUAGUUUAAACGAAUUGAGCGUAGGGACCAUUUCAUGUACUUGGUAGAUUAGGUUGAGGAGAGUUCAAUGGCUAUUGCUUCAUUUAAAUUUUUGACUUGAAUACCUAAAUCAUCACUUCUUCACUAUAUCUUCUACACUGGGAGCAAACUCUGUUGUAGAGUUGGUCAUUAAGGCUCACAGUUAAAUUAAGCAAGAAAACUAACGUACUUUCUCUGCUUUGACCUUGUGAAGAUCACUUUUCUCUCCUAUGCUCACUCUUCUGAGAAUUUUAGGAGGUAAUAUAUGUACAGUAAAAUGGCUGUAUGCUGUGUGGUUUCUCCUCUUACCUCUCUGCUUUCUGGGUUAUUUAACCAGAUCUCAUUAAGGUUAUUACCCUAUUUAGCUUCUGGUUGUCUUUAACCCAGAGAUUUCAUCAGUAAGUACGGUGACACUUUUUUCUCAAGGAAUCUCAGUGCUGCCUAAGAUCUGAAGAGGAUUAUGAACAGUGUUUUUUUGGCGGGGGGAGGUCUAAAAUGCUGUCUCUGUUUUUCUUAUAUUUUGUGAUUUGUCCUUAUGGCCAUCUCCUGAGCCACAACCUCAACACCCCCACAGACUUCUUAACUUUAUUUAUUCUGUAGGAUUUAUUUAGCAUAAAAAUACAUAAAACAUUAACAAAAGAUAAAUCCUAGUAGGUAUUUUCCUUUUGUGUAGACAUUGAGUUAAUAGAUCAUGGGGAAGCUCUACCUUUUAAUUCUGUCAUUGAAUUCUGGAUUGUGAGUUUGGAAUUGUUAGCAUUAAUAGUUGUAAGGUUUUGUUAGGCUUCUUAUUUUUAUGAGACAUUGUCAACUAUACCUUCUUAAUGACUUUAUGGCAUCACAGAUGAUUCCCAUUUUACAAUAUAGGAUUUCUGUCUUCUAGGUUAUUUCAGGAAGUUAUGAUAUCAAGCUCUCUGUUGUCUGAAAUUUCUAUUAGAAAAAUAUUUAUGGACUAUUGUUCAAUAUAAAAUGCAUUUCAUCUAUCAUUUUAAAUAUUUCACUUCUAAACUGUGUUUUGUAUGUUUAUAUAUUUAUGUGUAUAUUGGGGGUAAGGGACUUGUUAGGAAAUCCAGAUGGACUCUAAGCCUUCUGUUCCCUUUCAGCCUAGAGCACCAUUUUAUUCUGAUUUAUAUAUAGUAUUUUCAUGUAAAAAUUCUCUUAAAAAGUAUUGUAGGAGGGAUGGGGUUGUGGCUCAGUUGUAGCAUGCUUACCUAGCAUGUGUGAGGACUGGGUUUGAUUCUCAGCACCACAUACAAAUAAAUAAAAUAAAGGUCUAUCAAUAACUAAAAAUAUUUUUUAAAAAAGAGUAUUGCAGGGCAGAAAAAGUUACAAACUUUUUUAGUUAAUUCAAAUUGUGUUUUUAGACCAAGUUCAGCAAAGAACUUCCUUUUUUAACAUUCACUGUAGAGUGUCUAAUUGGUCAUUCAUUUACUAUUUCAUGAAUAUGCAUUAAUAAGAUUUACAUGUUUUUAAUUUUAAAAAUGUUGUUGAUGACAUUAUCCCUGUGUAACACUAUGUCUACCUUUUUAAAGCACACAGAAGAUAUUUCUGAUCCCAAAUGUAGGAAAAAUUGUGCUUCUCCUAAGUAUAUGUUUUGUUUAUUCUUUUUGUUUUUAUCCUAGAGACAUUGUGAAUUGUACAACCUUUCCUGAUAAUUUCCUCUUUGCUUUAUCCACCUUAUCUCAAAAUCAAAAUUUUGACAGCUAUAUGACUAUGUUAUCCUUAUAUUUUAAUCCCAAUUUUUCCUUGCUUUCAUUUUAAAUUUUUCUGUAGAAAUUGUCAAAACUAUCUUCUUAUUGAUUUAUUCAUAUCAUAUGCUUCUGUCCUUAUCUAACAAGACAAAUUACCUGAUUUUGCAUAAUAAAAUAGAGCAUUAACAUGAUAACAUAAAAGUAAAACAAUUGCCUGCUGUUCCCAUGACUGCCUGCAAAAUUUUAUAGAUUUAUUUCUGUUUUACAAUAAAAAUACCAGCCUACCAGAUAGAAAAUGAAAUAGGGAAUAUAAACCACUGUGAUUUUGACUAUAGGAUAGGACUUUGAAGCAACCUAAUUUAGAUGUUAUAGGAUUAGACUACAAAUUCUCCCAUUUUGUGUUGCUGUCAUUUGAUUGUUUUAUAUGCUAGAAUAUUUUUAAUAAAUCAUAAAUAUUGACUGACAAGAAAGCCACAAACAUGGGCUGGGGAUGUGGCUCAAGCGGUAGAGUGCUCGCCUGGCAUGAGUGCAGCCCGGGUUCGAUCCUCAGCACCACAUACAAACAAAGAUGUUGUGUCCGCCGAAAACUAAAAAAAUAAAUAAAUAUUAAAAAAAAAAAGAAAGCCACAAACUUACUUAAGAAAGGGUAAAGCUUUGGUUAAUAAGUUCUUUUUUUAAAUCACUCUCUACUUUGUAAUAAUUAACUAUAUUAAUAUGCAUCACUAUUAUAGCAAUUAUCUGUCAUCAUCCUCUCAUUCUCAAGGUCUGUGCUUUUAAUCACUGUUUGAUAUUCUUCAUUUCUAUAAGGACUUUCUUAUUCCUUUGUAGUAUUAAUUAGGUGAAAUUUGUUGUUGAAAAGAUUAAGUACAUUAUUUACCUGUGUCUUUUUCUUAUAGCUUUUCAUUCACAAAUAGAAACAUUUAAGGCACUAGAGAUUUCUAAAGCAAAACAGUUCAGUCUGACCUUCAUUAUUAGGACAAACUAAUUCCCCUGCAUUUAUAUGUGAAUUAUACCUUCUGCAUAAAAAUGCCAGAUUUGCAUUCUCAGGCCUCCCCGAGAUUGGUGGUACACAAGGAGAAAAUUAACAUGAUUUAAAUUAUUGACCUUCUUGUGACUCUCUGAGAAACAAUUUUCUUUAUAUUUUAAUAGGUAAUAAAAAUCAGAAACAUGUUUUGAGACCUGAAUCUCUUGAAGGAACAGAUGAAGAGGAUCCAAUUACAGCCCUGGAAUGGGACCCACUCUCUACUGAUUAUCUU
RNAcentral lists this long non-coding RNA (12288 nucleotides) under Marmota monax (woodchuck). The record is from RNAcentral. Lineage: Eukaryota; Metazoa; Chordata; Mammalia; Rodentia; Sciuridae.